RNAcentral lists this ribosomal RNA (253 nucleotides) under uncultured bacterium. RNAcentral's name for it is "partial 16S ribosomal RNA". It matches the Rfam family "Bacterial small subunit ribosomal RNA", at positions 524 to 776 of the family's 1533-position model. The record is from RNAcentral.
UACGAAGGGUGCAAGCGUUAUUCGGAAUUACUGGGCGUAAAGCGUGCGUAGGCGGUUUCUUAAGUCUGCUGUGAAAGCCCUGGGCUCAACCUGGGAAUGGCGGUGGAUACUGAGGGGCUAGAGUGCGGUAGAGGAGGGUGGAAUUCCCGGUGUAGCGGUGAAAUGCGUAGAGAUCGGGAGGAACAUCAGUGGCGAAGGCGGCCCUCUGGACCAGCACUGACGCUGAGGCACGAAAGCGUGGGGAGCAAACAGG